AAAAAUUCAAUUUUUAUAAACAAAUUAGAGAGUCCAAUUAAUUAGGAGUAGUUAGUUACGAUGGAUUAGAGUGCAGUAGUCAUGGGAAAAUAAUUUCUUGGGAGAGUGCAUGAGUAAAUCUACUUAAAAUUGGGUCAACAUUUAUUAGUGGAAAAUAAUUAUUGUGGAGAAAAUCUAGAAUCCAAUUAAUUGGUAGACAAGGGUAAAAUAGACAAAAUGUAUCCUUAAACUAUGAAAUGGACAUGUAUUUUGAAACAAAAAAUUUCUCUAAAAUGGACAUGUAUUUUGAAACGGAG
Molecule: long non-coding RNA, 296 nt
Filed under: Medicago truncatula (barrel medic)
Lineage: Eukaryota; Viridiplantae; Streptophyta; Magnoliopsida; Fabales; Fabaceae
Description: long non-coding RNA (MTRU_LNC007765)
Source: RNAcentral